Long non-coding RNA from Bactrocera neohumeralis, 1232 nucleotides. RefSeq lists it as uncharacterized. The record is from RefSeq and is a predicted model, not a curated record. Lineage: Eukaryota; Metazoa; Arthropoda; Insecta; Diptera; Tephritidae. The transcript has 5 exons.
UUGGAUUCGGUUUAGUGUUUGGGGAAGAAUUGGAAGCUCGUAUUAAUGUGUGCUGGCUACAGUAUUACGUGUAUUUUAAAGCAGUUAAGAUAUGAAAUAUUGUGUUCGCCAUAACAUUUCGUUGUUAAAAGUGCAAUAAAACGCUCAGCAUAAAAGAAAUCACGAAAAGAGUGGAAAUCCUGAAAGGGAUUUGCAAGAAAUUAUUUCGUCUUCUUAAAAAAUAAAACUAUAAAAAGUGCGAAAAAGUUCUCCUCUAAAACAAAGCCGUAAAAUGUGUGCAAAAGUUUCAAGUAGGUAGUCUUCGAAAGCAAUAAAGCUGGAAAAAUGUGGAAAGUCAAAAGCAUAAAAAUUAAAACGUAGCUCUAACACUCAAAAAUUACCGCAACUAGGAAAGUUCACCGGUUGAAAAAAGGAGUGUGCAUCUUCCUUGCGGAAUUGCUUAGUAAAAGGAGCGGAAGAAAACGCGUUACUAUUUGCUCGCUGCGCAAGUGUCAUAAAGUGUUGCAUGGAUUAUGUCAAAAUUGUCGCCUCUUCGCACUAAUCUUGUUAUAAUCUUCAACGCUUGGAAAUGUGGAUCACUGAUGACUGGAGUCCAUGCAGCCGUCUCUGUUGACCUAGCUACCGUGAGCGUAUGGUGGUGUGCGCAAAGGAGAAUAAUGGCAUCAAGAUAACGGUACUGGAUGUGACGUGUUGAGCGCCAAAGCCAAGCACACAGGAGCCCUGCAUGAUUGAGAAGUGCCCAAUUGGAAGGUGGAGAAGUAGACUGGUCUUCGUCAAAGACAGCGAAUGGUCAUCAUGCAGCGUAACUUGCGGUGAGGGCGUACGCCGACGAUUUUGCGGUUGCAAAAUUUUUAUCGAGAACUCGCGCACCAUCCCGACCGGCAACGAUUCGCUAUGAGUGGGCGUCACAACACACGUUGAAGUGGACCGUUGUGCCCAGAAACCCGUAAGCUGUCCGCACAUGCUUACGAUGAUCAAUAUCUAGACGUCAAUGGCGACCGUUAUCGUGUCAUGGUAUUUGAUGCCUGAAAUUUAAGCUCGUGAUCUCGACGACAUUUCGUUUUAAUAAAACGACGCCGCUUUCCACAUAUCGCAUCAAUUAAUGGAUUUAUUGAGAGAACACUUCUUCUUGGCCACCCAGAUGGUGUAAUAUCACACCGUUAGACUUUUUUGUGAGGAUGUGUAAAGUUUAAAAUCUAUGUGGAUAAUCCCGCUUCAAUUCAAAUCUUAGA